Molecule: ribosomal RNA, 251 nt
Filed under: uncultured bacterium
Lineage: Bacteria
Description: partial 16S ribosomal RNA
Rfam family: Bacterial small subunit ribosomal RNA
Source: RNAcentral
UACGUAGGUGGCAAGCGUUGUCCGGAUUUACUGGGCGUAAAGAGCGCGCAGGCGGUCGUUCAAGUCGCGUGUGAAAGCCCCCGGCUCAACUGGGGAGGGUCACGCGAUACUGAUCGACUCGAAGGCAGGAGAGGGUAGUGGAAUUCCCGGUGUAGUGGUGAAAUGCGUAGAUAUCGGGAGGAACACCAGUGGCGAAGGCGACUACCUGGCCUGUUCUUGACGCUGGCGCGAAAGCUAGGGGAGCAAACGGG